UACGAAGGGGGCUAGCGUUGCUCGGAAUCACUGGGCGUAAAGGAUGCGUAGGCGGGUCUUUAAGUCAGGGGUGAAAUCCUGGAGCUCAACUCCAGAACUGCCUUUGAUACUGAGGAUCUUGAGUUCGGGAGAGGUGAGUGGAACUGCGAGUGUAGAGGUGAAAUUCGUAGAUAUUCGCAAGAACACCAGUGGCGAAGGCGGCUCACUGGCCCGAUACUGACGCUGAGGCACGAAAGCGUGGGGAGCAAACAGG
Molecule: ribosomal RNA, 253 nt
Filed under: uncultured bacterium
Lineage: Bacteria
Description: partial 16S ribosomal RNA
Rfam family: Bacterial small subunit ribosomal RNA
Source: RNAcentral